Papaver somniferum (opium poppy) is the source of this 5091-nucleotide long non-coding RNA. RefSeq lists it as uncharacterized. The record is from RefSeq and is a predicted model, not a curated record. NCBI's taxonomy places the organism in Eukaryota, Viridiplantae, Streptophyta, Magnoliopsida, Ranunculales, Papaveraceae. The transcript has 7 exons.
UUGCUUAUAACCUAAAUAAUUUUCAAAUCGUUGAAACUGAUAACCAUAGGAUGAAAAUCUUUGCUUGGAAUGUCCACGGAUUUGGGAAUAAGGAUACUAGGCAGCACCUAGGGGAGUUAAUUAGAGCCAAUGAUCCUGAUAUUAUUUUUCUGUCUGAAACCAAAUUGAUGAAUGCUAAAAUGGAAAAAUUUACCUAUAGGUUCAAUUACAUGAAUUACCUUUAUGUGAACCCAAUUGGUGCCUCUUGUGGUCUUUUUUUUGUUAUGGAAAGAUGGAAUACACAUUGAUGUUGUGGACAUGAAUAUAAUUUUUAUCUCUGUUUUAGUGAAUAUGGACUCUAGAAGUGGUCAUACUCUUCUUAAUUGUAUGUAUGGAGCUUUGGAUGACUUAGGUUGGGAUAGACAAUGGGACUAUUUAGACCAACUAGAAAAUAUGUAUAUUUGUCCUUGGGUAAUCAUAGGAGAUUUAAACUUCAUUAUUAGACAGGAGGAAAAAGUUGGUGGUAACAGAAUUCCUCAAAGUCAGCUUGAUAAUGCUAAAUUCCAUCUGGAUCACCUAGGUCUCUCUGAUUUGAACUUUGUAGGGAACCCAUUUACCUGGAGUAACCAUAGAAGUGGGGAAGCUCUUAUUCCUGAGAGGUUGGAUAGGGUCUUAGUUAACUCUGAGUGGUUAGAGUUGUUUCCUAAGGCUAUAGUUUAUCAUUUGGUUGAAGUUGCUAGUGACCACAGUCCCAUUUUGUUGAUUAAUUCUAGUGAGGAUAAUACUUCUAGAAGACCUCUUAGGUUUAAUAGGUGUUGGUUCAGUGAUAAUUCUUGUAAAUAUAUUAUUGCUAGUAAUUGGAACACUAAUGAAAGAGGUUCUAAAGCUUUCAAGCAUGCUAAAUGUUUGUAUAAUGUGAAGGUUGCUCUUAGAAAUUGGAACUUACAUUGUUUUGGGAACUUUCAGUAUCAUAUAAAUGCUAUUCAGAAACAAUUUGAAGAUGUCUCUCUUAAUAUGCAUGAUAUAUAAUGCUUGUAUUACUUUGAAGAAGAGUCUUGAAGAGUCUCUAAAAUAUUGGUAUAGUGUGAAACAAGACUACUAUAUGCAGAGAGCUAGAGAAAAUAUUUUAACCUUUGAUGAUAAAAAUACCAAAUAUUUUCAUGAUAAAGUUAAUUUUAGGAAAAGAAGGACUCAAAUAGACUGUUUGCAAAGUAGUAUUGGCAUAUGGUUGACUGAUAAGAAUAGGAUAGCUAAUGAGCUUAGAGAGCACUUCUGUAAAAUUAGUAGAACAACCAAUCCUCCUAGGGACAGGGGUCUUCUGGAUGUUUUGACUCCUUGUAUUAAUUCUGAAGAAAAUAAUUUUCUUAUCAGGCCUCCUUCUGAUGAGGAAAUUAGGGCCAUUGUUUGGCAGAUGCAGCCAUGGACUAGUCCUGGACCAGAUGGGUACCCUCCAGGAUUUUAUUAAAAGAUGUGGGAAACUAUAGGUGCUGAUACUGUUGAUAUGGUCAAGAGUUUCUUUCAUUCUGGUCAUAUGCUUAAACAAAUGAACCAUAAUUUUCACUACACCAUAUUCAGGUUUUUGCAAGGCCGGAAUAUUUUGGUUGCAACGAAUAUAAUUGUUGCAGAUGGAGCAACGCAAAUAUACGUUGCACAAUAGGAUUUCCGUUGCUUUAUUUAUAAAUUAACUUUUAGGAAUUGAGUAUAAUUUGUGCACCGUUGAUAUAGGUUGCAAUCCUGCGGUUAAUAUAAAUUGCGUUGUUUUCAAGGGUUUUAGAAUUAAUAUUGUUAUUUUUUAUUUAUCUCAAACUCGUGAAGUAUUAGAAAUGAAUAUCACCACACACUCGUUUUGUUUCUUCUCUUCUUCGUAGACCCAACUCUGAAAUCCCACAGAUCCAACCUCUACUCUCACAAUCAAAGACUAAUCCAAACCUCAUCUCAAAAUCAAAACCCAUGUGUCAGAUCUAAAAGAAAGCCCCUCUUUUGUAACCCUAGAUUUAGAUUAUUUGUUCGUAAAACCAAAAGCAAAUUCUCAUCUAAGUUUAGUUUUCUUGUUCAUAUGCAAACACCUCUCAUCAUCGAAUCAAGUCUGAUUUCAAAAAUUAAACCUAACCGCAUCUUUGAAUCAAAACCCAUCUCAGAAUCAGAACCAUAAUCCUUUAACAUCUCCUAAAUUUUGUAACCCUAGACGUAGUUGAUUUUUCUCCUGAAAUCGAAGCAAACCCUCAUCUCAUAUUCGACGGAGCUGAAAGUACAAGAAGAAGAUUUCACCUGGCAGGACAUGAUUGGAUUCGUAAUGGUAGUGGGUGAGUUGAGGGAAACGAGGAUAGUGAAGCAUCUGCAACUGCAUCGAGUCAUCUUGUAUGUUAGGCCUUUGCUGAGACUGUUUGUAGCUCAGUUUUUGGUUCUGCCAGGGGUUUUACUGAUAUGCUAGUUCAACACAUCCCUUCUGCCAAAGAAGCUGCAGCGAGGAAACUAGAGCAUGUAUAUAGUGGGCCUCGAGAUUCAUCGGUUUUUGACUCAAUGGAGAGAUCUAAUGGUUAAUGUGACCAAACUCUACCCUAAAUCAGAUUGCAAUAUCUUUGAUGUUCUUUGUAGAGUUUACAGUGGUGAGAUACAGACUGGACAGACUGCGUGUACUGGGAGAAGGUUAUUCACCGGAUGAUGAAGAGGAUAUAACCGUAAAAGAAAUAAUGAAGUUGUGGGUUUACCAAGCUCGUGGUUUCACAUCUAGUUGGUGGUGUGCAGGUAGCAGAUCUUGUUGUUUCAUUUUGCAAGACGGUGGUGGAGUCCUCUUCGACGAAAUGUUUCGACGAAACACCCAACAAAAAGAACAAGAUAACCAUGAUUGCUGAGUCACUAGAGAAAGGAUUGGCAGAGGAUAUUGAAAAUGGUGUUGUAAGCAUUGAUUGGCCUCGGAAGAGACUUACCAAUUUUUUCAUGUCAUCAAAUUAUAGCUGGGAUAUUCUUGCAUCAAGAGGUGUUUGGGUCUUUGGGCCAGGUAAGCAGGAUCCAAUGGGGACCUAUCAGAAAUGUGAAGUUCAAGAUUGAACCCAUACAUCGAGGCACUGGUCAGAUUAUAUAUUCCAACUGCUCGACGGGCUGCAUAUUCAGCUUUCCUCAUGGCUACUCCACGUCUUAUGGAACCUGUAUACUAUGUUGAGAUACAAACCCCAAUAGAUUGUGUAUCUGCCAUCUAUACGGUGUUGUCUGAUCAACGUGGUCAUGCUACGGCUGAUGUUCCUCAGAUUGGUACGCCAGCUUAUAUCAUAAAGGUCGGUUAUAAAACUCUACUUCUCAUGAUGUAAAUCAAAUGCACUAGUUGGGCUUCAAAAAGUUCAGUCGAGAUCAAGCCAUUCAUUCGACAUCUCAUAAAGACCAUUCCAAAUCCUAGGAUGCUUGUCCAAGGCAUUGCAUGUAGUUGCCAUGGUUACUAGCACCAGCAGAAAGAACACUACUUCCCACUAAGAAGUUUUUUAUUUGUUCCAGUACUUUGCUUAACCCAAUUUCCUGUUCGAUGUUGUAUAUGAUAAUAUAGAGUGAGUUACCUGGUUAUUGUCAGGUUUACAUGUCAGUCUAAACUUAUAAUGAUCUAUGCAGAUAAUACUUUACUUUGCAGUAGAUUUUUUACGGGGGGAAAAGAGAACACAACUACAAGAAAGCUAAAACCUUUGUUCAGAACACUUUUCGAGUUAAUGUUUAUGGUAUCUGACUUCUUAUAUGAGGAUGAUGCAUAACUUUCUGUUUAUGUGCCAAAGUUAAUUGGUGUUUGAACUUGUUCAUGAGAUAGUUAGCUUAACUGGUCCGACGUUUUUGAAGGAGUAUUGUUGAAUAUCUGGAGAUUAUCUGGGGAGUACUGCGUGCUUGUGGUAUUAUCACUAGUAUAACUCAUAUCCUAUCAACUGUGAUAGAAGGGAUCGAUGGGUUCAAUCUGCAGCAGACACGGCCAAGGACCAUGAAGUUGAUACCAACAAAAACGCGUAGGUGUCAUUCCUACACUGAAGAGAUAAUACUCAUCUCUAUCCUUAAUUGUCUUUAUCUUUUUAUUUUACUUGUAUAUAACUGGUCUCUGAUUUCCUUGUGAUUGGGUUCUUGAAUCAUCUAGAACCUAUAUCUCUAAAUCUCUAAUUUCGUCAGCUCAGUAUUCUCUAUUGUGAGAUGUGCUCCUUAGUGUGCUAACUGGAUACUUUUUUUCUUUCUCUAUUUAGUUAUUAUAGCAGCAGUUUGGGCUAUUACUACGACCCUAAAUCAGUUUGUGCAGAGUUGUAUGCACUUUCAUAUAAAUAAUGAUUGCAUGUUUCGAUUUUUGGGCAGCAAUAACUACUAUUAUUGUCCAUCAUAAAUAACUUUUAGCACGACUCCGGGCCUGCGUAUAAGUUCUUAUCUAUACUGCUACUUCUUUUGUUCUGCGUUUGAGAUUUAUUCAAUUACAGGUUUGAAGUACAUCAAAUAUAUAUAAUGUUGACUUUUCAUCUUAUAUACUAUUAUAGUCCCGAUUCUAAAUUUUUUUACCAUAGAUUUUGCAUUUGAUCAGCUAAUACUUUGAAAACUGUUUGUCUGUGUGUUUACGGGUGACAAUUUUUUCAAGUGUGCAAGCUAAAAGUGAAAGCUUUUUGUGUUGAACCUUUUUCGGAAGCAAAGGAUGAGCUCAGGGAUGUCGUAGCUUUCAAAAGCGCAAGCUAAUUUUAGAGGACUUCAGUCAUCAGGUCUCGAUGUGAUAUUUUGAAAAUUCACUUAAGAAGAAUGAACCUGAUAUCUGGAAUUAAUUUGAAGAAGAUAUUGCAUAGAAGAUGGGCAGGGCAUCUGGCAUGGAGCUAAAGUAUACAUGUUCUUGAAGUCAAGCAAGGGUGGUCUGUUAGGGCCAGGGGAGAGCAUUAUAUUGAACUUUACCACCAGACAACCAAAGCGCGCCAAGUAAUUACUUUGUUGAGUUCUUUUUGAUUUUAUAUCCUCUGAACCGUAACUUAAACUAGAGUGUUAUGUUUUAGUUAUGCCCAUAAACUAUUGAACUUUUGUAUCAACUUGAAGUGAUUAUAGAACUGUCCUGUGCAUGCUUCAAACCUUGUUAUGUAUAUUGUAAUUUCUUCCAUAUGGACAAAUUAGUUCUUCUUUUCA